UGCACUUACAGUUCUGAGACCUCGGCCCUCUCCUCAGCUCUCUCCAGUUCUCCCUCAAGGAUUACCAGCUUACGGGCUACCUAAGCCUUCUCGGCCUCCUCCAGUUUCUGCAGCGCAGUGGCCAGCCUCUCCUGGGCCCGGUCCAACUCCUCCUCCACCAGCUGGAUCCUGCGGUUCAGACCCGCCACAUCACCCUCCGCCUGGGAGAAGAGAGGGGGAUGAGGUCAAAGGUGGCAACACGCAUCUCUGCGUGCUUGGUAGAUAUCUCAGCUUAGAUGUCGGCCCACCACCUCAAGCUCAACCUUGACAAGAAGGUGCUGCUCUUCAUUCCGGAGAAGACCGGCCCGCUCAAAGACCUCUCCAUCCAGAUUGACAACUCCACAAGCUCCCCCUUGCAGAAUGCAGAGAACCUUGGCGUAACCAUGGACAACACCCUGUCGUUCUCUGCAAACAUCAAAACAGUGACUCGCUCAUGUAGGUUCAUGCUCUACAACAUCC
This is a long non-coding RNA of Salvelinus sp. IW2-2015, 498 nucleotides long. RefSeq lists it as uncharacterized. NCBI's taxonomy places the organism in Eukaryota, Metazoa, Chordata, Actinopteri, Salmoniformes, Salmonidae. The record is from RefSeq and is a predicted model, not a curated record.